This 194-nucleotide ribosomal RNA is filed under the name uncultured marine bacterium. RNAcentral describes it as "partial 16S ribosomal RNA". It matches the Rfam family "Bacterial small subunit ribosomal RNA", at positions 338 to 524 of the family's 1533-position model. The record is from RNAcentral.
CCUACGGGAGGCAGCAGUGAGGAAUAUUGGACAAUGGGCGCAAGCCUGAUCCAGCCAUACCGCGUGUGUGAAGAAGGCCUUCGGGUUGUAAAGCACUUUAAGCAGGGAGAAAAAGUUAUAAGUUAAUACCUUAUAACCGUGAUGUUACCUGCAGAAUAAGCACCGGCUAAUUCCGUGCCAGCAGCCGCGGUAAU